UUCUGUACAGUCAGGAGCUUAGGACGUGGUGCAGUCGAACGGCAGCGGGGGCUUCGGCCUGCCGGCGAGUGGCGAACGGGUGAGUAAUGCAUCGGAACGUGCCCAUGUCGUGGGGGAUAACGUAGCGAAAGCUACGCUAAUACCGCAUACGUCCUGAGGGAGAAAGCGGGGGAUCUUCGGACCUCGCGCGAUUGGAGCGGCCGAUGUCGGAUUAGCUAGUAGGUGGGGUAAAGGCCCACCUAGGCGACGAUCCGUAGCGGGUCUGAGAGGAUGAUCCGCCACACUGGGACUGAGACACGGCCCAGACUCCUACGGGAGGCAGCAGUGGGGAAUUUUGGACAAUGGGCGCAAGCCUGAUCCAGCCAUGCCGCGUGAGUGAAGAAGGCCUUCGGGUUGUAAAGCUCUUUCGGCCGGGAAGAAAUCGCACGCUCUAACAUAGCGUGUGGAUGACGGUACCGGACUAAGAAGCACCGGCUAACUACGUGCCAGCAGCCGCGGUAAUACGUAGGGUGCGAGCGUUAAUCCGAAUUACUGGGCGAAAAGCGUGCGCAAGCGGUUUUGUAAGACCGAUGUUAAAUCCUCGGGUUUAACCUGGCAUCUGCGCUCGCGAGUGCGCUGAUAUAGUACGACACUGGCGCGUGCCAGAUCCCUGUGUACCUUUCACCCUACGGGAAACGUGGCGGUGUCUCAUAGCUCACGCUAUCGUAUCUGAUUUGCUUGUAGCUCUUUCGCUCCAAGCUGGGCUGAGAGCACGAAGGGCGCCGUUCUUCCCGACCGCUGCCCCUUAUACUGUAACUAUCUUCUUGGGUACCACACGGAUAAGUACACCACUCUUUUGCCACUGUCAACACCCACUGGAAAACAAGAUUAUUACAGGGAGAUAUCGCGGGCAAUUCUUCAGAGUUCUUGAAGAGCUGCCCGUAACUACGGUUUACACUCGAAGAUUUGUCUUUUGAAUCUGCGCUCUGCAUGAUUUCACUUGCGUUCGCAACUAGAAUUAGGUAGCUGGUGCUUCUUUCGACCAAACCAGCACCUAGGCAGCAGGUGGUGUUUAGUCGCUUGCUAUCUCUCUGCUGAGCGAUGAAUUUAGACUCGCAACGAGAAUCUUCUCUUUUUCUAGUGGCUGAUUUCGUUUGCACUCAUACUCAAAUAUCCGGAUUUGCGACAGCAGGAGUGGGAGGAGGUCUGCCUACUACUUCUGCAGUAUGAGAGAGAAUCAGCUUCACAUAAACGCUGCUAAAAUGAAGAUCGCUGAGAGCUACAAGAGAAGUUGGUUUCUCUAUACUAUC
This 1289-nucleotide ribosomal RNA is filed under the name Pectobacterium carotovorum subsp. carotovorum. Its description in RNAcentral is "bacterial SSU rRNA". The stretch from base 9 to 806 matches the Rfam family "Bacterial small subunit ribosomal RNA". The record is from RNAcentral. Lineage: Bacteria; Pseudomonadati; Pseudomonadota; Gammaproteobacteria; Enterobacterales; Pectobacteriaceae.